UAGCAGUAAACGGUGCACGCUUGGUGUGAGGGGAAUCGACCCCCCUUGUGCCGGAGCUAACGCGUUAAGCGUGCCGCCUGGGAAGUACGGUCGCAAGACUAAAACUCAAAGAAAUUGACGGGGACCCGCACAAGCGGUGGAGUAUGUGGCUUAAUUCGAUGCAACGCGAAGAACCUUACCAAGGCUUGACAUGCAUCUCUAAACACGUGAAAGCGUGUGACCCUUCGGGGAAUUUGCACAGGUGCUGCAUGGCCGUCGUCAGCUCGUGUCGUGAGAUGUUGGGUUAAGUCCCGCAACGAGCGCAACCCUUGUGAUUAGUUGCCAGCACGUUAAGGUGGGAACUCUAGUCAGACUGCCCAGAUCAACUGGGAGGAAGGUGGGGACGACGUCAGGUCAGUAUGGCCCUUACGCCUUGGGCUGCACACGUACUACAAUGCCCAGCACAAUGAGAACCGAUACCGCGAGGUGGAGGAAAUCUGUAAAACUGGGCUCAGUUCGGAUUGGAGGCUGCAACUCGCCUCCAUGAAGUUGGAAUCGCUAGUAAUGGGGCAUCAUCUACGGCCCCGUGAAUACGUUCCCGGGUCUUGUACACACCGCCCGUCACAUCAUGGA
This 612-nucleotide ribosomal RNA is filed under the name uncultured Verrucomicrobium sp. RNAcentral describes it as "bacterial SSU rRNA". It matches the Rfam family "Bacterial small subunit ribosomal RNA", at positions 797 to 1408 of the family's 1533-position model. The record is from RNAcentral. Lineage: Bacteria; Pseudomonadati; Verrucomicrobiota; Verrucomicrobiia; Verrucomicrobiales; Verrucomicrobiaceae.